UACGUAGGGCGCAAGCGUUGUCCGGAAUUAUUGGGCGUAAAGAGCUCGUAGGCGGUUUGUCGCGUCUGUCGUGAAAGCUUGGGGCUUAACCCCAAGUCUGCGGUGGAUACGGGCAGACUAGAGGCAGGUAGGGGAGAACGGAAUUCCCGGUGUAGCGGUGAAAUGCGCAGAUAUCAGGAGGAACACCAAUGGCGAAGGCAGCACUCUGGGACGUGACUGACGCUGAGACGCGAAAGCGUGGGGAGCAAACAGG
RNAcentral lists this ribosomal RNA (253 nucleotides) under uncultured bacterium. Its description in RNAcentral is "partial 16S ribosomal RNA". It matches the Rfam family "Bacterial small subunit ribosomal RNA", at positions 524 to 776 of the family's 1533-position model. The record is from RNAcentral.